RNAcentral lists this long non-coding RNA (627 nucleotides) under Mytilus galloprovincialis (Mediterranean mussel). The record is from RNAcentral. Lineage: Eukaryota; Metazoa; Mollusca; Bivalvia; Mytilida; Mytilidae.
GAUUUGAUUUAUUCCUCGAGAAAAUAAAUUUGAUUUAUUCACUUAAAUCAAUAAUUGAUCAACUUGAACUUUGAAAAAGUUACAUUAAUAUAUCUUUUCGCAUCCUUUAAUUUAAGGACUAGUCCGCAUAUUUCGUCUGUUCUCGCUUCAAACCAAGCCAUCAUAAAUACAUCAGAGAUUACUAAAAUUAAAGCAUUUAUUUAAAAACAAUCCCCAUCUAACUUCAAAGUAUGAGGUAAAUCGAUUAGUUUACGCUAGCCAAGCAACCAACAGACAAAAUAAAUCUUGUCUCCCCGAUCGAGACUAUCUAUAGACACGGAAUAAAAAAUAUGGAAAUAAUAGCAUGUUAGCUAUAGAUUGGUUACAAACACAUUUAUGCAAACAUGAAGCAGCUGUUUCUUUACUGAACUGGUCAGUGGUAAUACAAAACCAGGGUUUCAAAAAGAUGAAGAAAAAGAAAAAGACAUUUAAAAUUUAUAAAAAAGAAAUCAGAAAUAGUGUUUAACUGAAAUUGAACAAAAAAGAAAUUAUAAAAAAUAUAGUCUAUAAUAUGUGAAUAUUUAUUUAAGAAAGCUAACAAUAAAAUGAAAGAAAAAUAUGUGAUGCUUAAGAACAUUGACCUGGGCC